CGGGUGAGUAAUACAUCGGAACGUGUCCCGUAGUGGGGGAUAGCCCGGCGAAAGCCGGAUUAAUACCGCAUAUGCUCUACGGAGGAAAGUGGGGGACUCGCAAGGGCCUCACGCUAUGGGGGCGGCCGAUGUCCGAUUAGCUUGUUGGCGGGGUAAUGGCCCACCAAGGCGACGAUCGGUAGCUGGUCUGAGAGGAUGAUCAGCCACACUGGGACUGAGACACGGCCCAG
Molecule: ribosomal RNA, 230 nt
Filed under: uncultured bacterium
Lineage: Bacteria
Description: partial 16S ribosomal RNA
Rfam family: Bacterial small subunit ribosomal RNA
Source: RNAcentral